CCUACGGGAGGCAGCAGUGAGGAAUAUUGGUCAAUGGGCGGGAGCCUGAACCAGCCAAGCCGCGUGAAGGAAGAAGGCGCCAGGCGUCGUAAACUUCUUUUGUCGGGGAGCAAAGGCGGAGACGCGUCUCCGGAUGAGUGUACCCGAAGAAAAAGCAUCGGCUAACUCCGUGCCAGCAGCCGCGGUAAUACGGAGGAUGCGAGCGUUAUCCGGAUUUAUUGGGUUUAAAGGGUGCGCAGGCGGGAGAUCAAGUCAGCGGUAAAAUGUCGGGGCUCAACCCCGGCCGGCCGUUGAAACUGGUUUUU
RNAcentral lists this ribosomal RNA (305 nucleotides) under uncultured bacterium. Its description in RNAcentral is "bacterial SSU rRNA". It matches the Rfam family "Bacterial small subunit ribosomal RNA", at positions 338 to 641 of the family's 1533-position model. The record is from RNAcentral.